GAUAAAGUCCAAGAUUUUAUGAGAAUUCAUAAAGUUGUCUUCAAUAGAGAAGAACAUUUUGGGUUAAUAGUUAUGUCUCAGGUGUCCUAUUCCUCUGACAAUCCUGCCAUAAAGUUGUGUAUAAAAGUUGAACAAGGGCGGUGUGAACAGUCAUAGCUUUUACAACUCUUGACUCAUCACUGACACAGACAGAAAAACACAACAAGAUGCUUUGUGAAAGCUCUCUAAGGAGCAUGGGUUACCAGGAGCACAUUCAGCAAAUAGAGAGCCACUCGAGGGGUAUAGUCCUGCGUGAGCUUGUAUCAGACCAUGAACACUCUACAGAGCAGAAUGUCCACUUCUGUAAGCCACAGAGAAUACGAGUCUACACUCGCUGCUUUGAUCACAGCCAGCCUUCUGAAAGCCAUCAUACAGAGCGUCGAAAAAUAACAACAGCACAAAUCUUCAUGAAGUCAGAAUAGAGAGCAUGAUAUUGUUCAUCAUUUCAGCCCAAAGAUGGUUUUCAGAAAUCUGUUAUUAUCCUCUGUGCUUUCCAGCAUCUUGGUGACACUGCCUGGGAAUCCUCCAGAGGAUGCAAGUUUCUACUAAACAAAAACAGCGACUAACCCGGGCGUCUGUCCACAGAGGAUAGGAGGAGACAACCUGCUUUCUUCUGUACUCUGUAUGCUGUAAUUGACUGAAACUGACUAAAAUGGCCCUCAUUCUAAUGGACAAAACAGGGAAAAGAAAAGAAACUAGAAAUACAUGAUGAGUGAAUGUGGAUGUUACUGUAUAGGUCAGUGUCUCCAACACGGUUACUAUUAACAAUACACUUUUAUUCAGUUCAUUCACAUAGUUAUUUAAAUUACAGUCACGGACAACAUCUAUUUAGCAAAUAUAUUGAAGUAUGUUCAUUGUUUAUCACUCUUUAUUAAACUUCUGAAACUUGUUAUUUGUUCAUGCUAGAGUUAAUGGGUUAGUGAACAUUUUGCUUUCUUUUUACUAGGAAUUUUUAGUUGAACUCGCUUUUUAAUAUGUCUUUGAAUACCAGGAGUAUGCAUGACAUGGUAAAGUAGAUUUUAUUUUAUUUGAUUUGAUUUUCCCCAAGAAACACAAGGCUAGAAGAGUGAGGAAAAAGCUAAUUUGAUAAGAGCUCAGUUUCAUGUUUCUUAUCACAGAUUCGGUUUUCUUACACUUCUUACACUUCAAGUUUGAUUUGAUUUUUUUUUGUUUUAUACAGUACCUUCAUGAUUGUGAUGACAUUGAUGUGAAAACAAAUAAUCUGGUGAAGGAUACAGUGAAAUACCUGGUCAUUCAUAUAAUGAAAAACCUUGCAGCCAGACGCCUUGGUAAGAUUUUUUUUUUUUUUUUUUUUUUAAGGGAAUAUAUUCAAUUUGUGGCUUGAAAGAGAUUUAUCUUUAUAUGGUAGAGUUCUCUUCUCCAAGGCUGAAGAACUAUCCCAUUUUAUACAUCCUUCAUUUUUUUUCUGUUAAUGACUCCGUUGAGAGUGAAGUAAAUCAAAUGUAUUCGAUUUUAUUAGUGGAAAAAAAAAAGAGAAUAUAACAAAAUUAAAAACAUAUCAUGGAUGUGUCUCAUAGCAGAGCAGACUGAAAUGACAAAUUCAUUUGUUAAAACAAUAUUUUAACAAAACUAAUGAGUUUCCCGUUUAAAAUUUAAUUAUUCGCCUAAUAAAUUGCCAGUGACUUUCUAUUUGAUUAAUUAGAAGUCAGUGUUUUUCCUGGUAAUUACAUAGAACAAUAGAAUAAGUAUUAGCUUCCAGCUGUCCUGUAUUUGGAUGACGUUGGUAGUAUAUUGUCACAUGGACAAUUGCGCAUAACAUCUCUGUUGCUUUGAUUAAAUAUAAACUGUUGAUUAAUGACAGGUGGGGACAUGGUGGCUUAGUGAUUAGCCCAUUUACCUCACACCUCAGGGGUUGGGGGUUUGAAUCCCACCUCCACCCUGCGUACGCAGAGCUUGCAUGUUCUCCCCGUGCUCCAGGGGUUCCCUCCAGGCACCCUGCUUUCUUCCCCCAGUCCAAAGACAUGCACUGGCGUUUCCAGAUUGUCUGUGGUGUGUGUGAAUGUGUCUACAGUUGUGCCCUGUGAUGGGUUGGCACCCUGGCCAGGGUGUCCUGAGUUCCCUGGGAUAGGCUUCAGGCUGCCCAUGACCCUGUGCAGGACAAGCGGUAUGGAAAAUGGAUGAAUUAGAGACAGUCAAACUGGACAAAUUUACUGGUCAGUGGUAGCUCAGUGGUUAAGACAUUGGACUACUGAUCGGAUGGUCAUGAGUUCAAGCUGCCACUGCUGGGCCCUUAAGCAAGGCCCUUAACCCUCAACCGCUCAUCUGUAUUUAUAAAAAAAAAAAAAAAAAAGUAAGUUGCUCGGGAUAAGGGCGUCUGCCAAAUGUUGGUUAAGUUGUGCACAGGGUGAUAUAAUACAGCUUUUUUUGCUUCUUAUAAAAUCACUGUAACAAAACAAGAUCAUUUCUUACUCUUAUUUUUGUUCAGAUUUGCAUUUUGGUAUGUACAGUAUAUUUGUUAAUUAUUUAAUAAAGCUCUAUGUGUCCAUGUGGCCACUGUUAGUGAUAUUGGCCACUAGAGGGCGCGCGGAGCUCCUGCCACUGGACAGUGAGGAAAAUGUGAAACACAAUGCAUGCUAAAUGUUUUAAAAAAAAUUUAAAACAAUUUAAAAAGCAAAAUCAUUAUACUUCAUUAUACUUGUCAAUGUUUUAUCUCUUAUCUCAAAUUAAAGGAACACGGUUUGCCAUUUU
Molecule: long non-coding RNA, 2748 nt
Organism: Pangasianodon hypophthalmus (striped catfish)
Lineage: Eukaryota; Metazoa; Chordata; Actinopteri; Siluriformes; Pangasiidae
Exons: 2
Source: RefSeq, a predicted model, not a curated record